GUAGUCAUAUGCUUGUCUCAAAGAUUAAGCCAUGCAUGUCUAAGUAUAAGCAACUAUACGGUGAAACUGCGAAUGGCUCAUUAAAUCAGUUAUCGUUUAUUUGAUAGUACCUUACUACAUGGAUAACCGUGGUAAUUCUAGAGCUAAUACAUGCUAAAAACCCCGACUUCGGAAGGGGUGUAUUUAUUAGAUAAAAAACCAAUGCCCUUCGGGGCUCCUUGGUGAUUCAUAAUAACUUAACGAAUCGCAUGGCCUUGCGCCGGCGAUGGUUCAUUCAAAUUUCUGCCCUAUCAACUUUCGAUGGUAGGAUAGUGGCCUACCAUGGUAUCAACGGGUAACGGGGAAUUAGGGUCCUAUUCCGGAGAGGGAGCCUGAGAAACGGCUACCACAUCCAAGGAAGGCAGCAGGCGCGCAAAUUACCCAAUCCCGACACGGGGAGGUAGUGACAAUAAAUACUGAUACAGGGCUCUUUUGGGUCUUGUAAUUGGAAUGAGUACAAUCUAAAUCCCUUAACGAGGAACAAUUGGAGGGCAAGUCUGGUGCCAGCAGCCGCGGUAAUUCCAGCUCCAAUAGCGUAUAUUAAAGUUGUUGCAGUUAAAAAGCUCGUAGUUGAACCUUGGGCCUGGCUGGCCGGUCCGCCUCACCGCGUGUACUGGUCCGGCCGGGCCUUUCCUUCUGGGGAGCCGCAUGCCCUUCGCUGGGCGUGUUGGGGAACCAGGACUUUUACUUUGAAAAAAUUAGAGUGUUCAAAGCAGGCCUUUGCUCGAAUACAUUAGCAUGGAAUAAUAGAAUAGGACGUGUGGUUCUAUUUUGUUGGUUUCUAGGACCGCCGUAAUGAUUAAUAGGGAUAGU
This 852-nucleotide ribosomal RNA is filed under the name uncultured fungus. RNAcentral's name for it is "SSU rRNA". It matches the Rfam family "Eukaryotic small subunit ribosomal RNA", at positions 20 to 882 of the family's 1831-position model. Lineage: Eukaryota; Fungi. The record is from RNAcentral.